AGUGAACGCUGGCGGCAGGCCUAACACAUGCAAGUCGAACGGCAGCACAGUAAGAGCUUGCUCUUACGGGUGGCGAGUGGCGGACGGGUGAGGAAUACAUCGGAAUCUACUUUUUCGUGGGGGAUAACGUAGGUAAACUUACGCUAAUACCGCAUACGACCUACGGGUGAAAGCAGGGGAUCUUCGGACCUUGCGCGAUUGAAUUAGCCGAUGUCGGAUUAGCUAGUUGGCGGGGUAAAGGCCCACCAAGGCGACGAUCCGUAGCUGGUCUGAGAGGAUGAUCGGCCACACUGGAACUGAGACACGGUCCAGACUCCUACGGGAGGCAGCAGUGGGGAAUAUUGGACAAUGGGCGCAAGCCUGAUCCAGCCAUCCCGCGUGGGUGAAGAAGGCCUUCGGGUUGUAAAGCCCUUUUGUUGGGAAAGAAAAGCAGCAGGUUAAUACCCCGCUGUUCUGACGGUACCCAAAGAAUAAGCACCGGCUAACUUCGUG
This 492-nucleotide ribosomal RNA is filed under the name uncultured bacterium. Its description in RNAcentral is "partial 16S ribosomal RNA". It matches the Rfam family "Bacterial small subunit ribosomal RNA", at positions 29 to 507 of the family's 1533-position model. The record is from RNAcentral.